Grammomys surdaster is the source of this 129-nucleotide small nucleolar RNA. The record is from RefSeq and is a predicted model, not a curated record. NCBI's taxonomy places the organism in Eukaryota, Metazoa, Chordata, Mammalia, Rodentia, Muridae.
CUCCUUUUAAAAGCACUCGGUGGCCUUUUGCUAGUGACCCACUGAGCUGUCAAGAAGGGGCAGAGUGGAAACAUCACUUAGAGGAGAAGUGGUAGCGUGUUGUUUGCUUCAAUCAGUGUUGUGACUAGA